Molecule: ribosomal RNA, 900 nt
Filed under: uncultured archaeon
Lineage: Archaea
Description: bacterial SSU rRNA
Rfam family: Archaeal small subunit ribosomal RNA
Source: RNAcentral
GUGUCAGCAGCCGCGGUAAAACCAGCACCUCAAGUGGUCAGGAUGAUUAUUGGGCCUAAAGCAUCCGUAGCCGGCUCUGUUAGUUUUCGGUUAAAUCUAUAUGCUCAACAUAUAGGCUGCCGGGAAUACUACAAAGCUAGGGAGUGGGAGAGGUAGACGGUACUCCGUAGGAAGGGGUAAAAUCCUUUGAUCUAUGGAUGACCACCUGUGGCGAAGGCGGUCUACCAGAACACGUUCGACGGUGAGGGAUGAAAGCUGGGGGAGCAAACCGGAUUAGAUACCCGGGUAGUCCCAGCUGUAAACUAUGCAAACUCAGUGAUGCAUUGGCUUGUGGCCAGUGCAGUGCCGCAGGGAAGCCGUUAAGUUUGCCGCCUGGGAAGUACGUACGCAAGUAUGAAACUUAAAGGAAUUGGCGGGGGAGCACCACAAGGGGUGAAGCCUGCGGUUCAAUUGGAGUCAACGCCAGAAAUCUUACCCGGAGAGACAGCAGAAUGAAGGUCAAGCUGAAGACUUUACCAGACAAGCUGAGAAGUGGUGCAUGGCCGUCGCCAGCUCGUGCCGUGAGAUGUCCUGUUAAGUCAGGUAACGAGCGAGAUCCUUGCCUCUAGUUGCCACCAUUACUCUCAGGAGUAGUGGGGCGAAUUAGCGGGACUGCCGUAGUUAAUACGGAGGAAGGAGAGGGCCACGGCAGGUCAGUAUGCCCUGAAACUCUGGGGCCACACGCGGGCUGCAAUGGUAGUGACAAUGUGUUCCGAAUCCGAAAGGAGGAGGUAAUCCAAAAACGCUACCACAGUUAUGACUGAGGNCUGCAACUCGCCCUCACGAAUAUGGAAUCCCUAGUAACUGCGUGUCAUUACCGCGCGGUGAAUACGUCCCUGCUCCUUGCACACACCGCCCGUC